UACGGAGGGGGCUAGCGUUGUUCGGAAUUACUGGGCGUAAAGGGCGCGUAGGCGGCAUGGCAAGUCAGGAGUGAAAGGCCUGGGCUCAACCGAGGAACUGCUUUUGAUACUGCCAAGCUAGAGUGCGGAAGGGGCAACUGGAAUUCCCAGUGUAGCGGUGAAAUGCGUAGAUAUUGGGAAGAACACCUGAGGCGAAGGCGGGUUGCUGGGCCGACACUGACGCUGAGGCGCGAAAGCCAGGGGAGCGAACGGG
RNAcentral lists this ribosomal RNA (253 nucleotides) under uncultured bacterium. Its description in RNAcentral is "partial 16S ribosomal RNA". It matches the Rfam family "Bacterial small subunit ribosomal RNA", at positions 524 to 776 of the family's 1533-position model. The record is from RNAcentral.